CACGAGCGGCGAACGGGUGAGUAACACGUGGGUGAUCUGCCUUGCACUUCGGGAUAAGCCUGGGAAACUGGGUCUAAUACCGGAUAUGACCUCGGGAUGCAUGUUCUGGGGUGGAAAGAUUUAUCGGUGCGAGAUGGGCCCGCGGCCUAUCAGCUUGUUGGUGAGGUAACGGCUCACCAAGGCGACGACGGGUAGCCGACCUGAGAGGGUGACCGGCCACACUGGGACUGAGACACGGCCCAGACUCCUACGGGAGGCAGCAGUGGGGAAUAUUGCACAAUGGGCGAAAGCCUGAUGCAGCGACGCCGCGUGCGGGAUGACGGCCUUCGGGUUGUAAACCGCUUUUGACAGGGACGAAGCGCAAGUGACUGUACCUGUAGAAUAAGGACCGGCCAACUACGUGCCAGCAGCCGCGGUAAUACGUAGGGUCCGAGCGUUGUCCGGAAUUACUGGGCGUAAAGAGCUUGUAGGCGGUUCGUCGCGUCGUUUGUGAAAACUUGGGGCUCAACCUUAAGCUUGCAGGCGAUACGGGCGGACUAGAGUACUUCAGGGGAGACUGGAAUUCCUGGUGUAGCGGUGAAAUGCGCAGAUAUCAGGAGGAACACCGGUGGCGAAGGCGGGUCUCUGGGAAGUAACUGACGCUGAGAAGCGAAAGCAUGGGUAGCAAACAGGAUUAGAUACCCUGGUAGUCCAUGCCGUA
Molecule: ribosomal RNA, 700 nt
Filed under: Nocardia sp. KLBMP S0033
Lineage: Bacteria; Bacillati; Actinomycetota; Actinomycetes; Mycobacteriales; Nocardiaceae
Description: bacterial SSU rRNA
Rfam family: Bacterial small subunit ribosomal RNA
Source: RNAcentral